GAAAAAGCGAUAAUAAGAAAAUAGUAAUAAGAAGUAUUACUUUAAGAGAAGAAGUGGUUGGUGUAAACUUCUAAGUAAUAUCUUAUGAAUUCACUCUUUAGCUUUAUCGUUACCUGCGUUAAAGGUUUAAGAUAAGUUAUACUUAUGAAAUAAGGUGGUACCACGAAAUAAUUCGUCCUUUGG
Molecule: non-coding RNA, 183 nt
Organism: Mycoplasma sp. CAG:611_25_7
Lineage: Bacteria; Bacillati; Mycoplasmatota; Mollicutes; Mycoplasmatales; Mycoplasmataceae
Source: Rfam